AGCACAUGACCACAACGUGUUUAUCACUUUGCAAACGGACAGUUGGCAAGAAUUUGUACCCAUGCGAGAGAGUAAAGUACAC
Non-coding RNA from Caenorhabditis elegans, 82 nucleotides. The record is from Ensembl. NCBI's taxonomy places the organism in Eukaryota, Metazoa, Nematoda, Chromadorea, Rhabditida, Rhabditidae.